GGUGAGUAUACUUAGGAAUCUACCUAGUAGUGGGGGAUAGCACGGGGAAACUCGUAUUAAUACCGCAUACGUCCUACGGGAGAAAGGGGGCAACUUGUUGCUCUCGCUAUUAGAUGAGCCUAAGUCGGAUUAGCUAGAUGGUGGGGUAAAGGCCUACCAUGGCGACGAUCUGUAGCUGGUCUGAGAGGAUGAUCAGCCACACCGGGACUGAGACACGGCCCGGACUCCUACGGGAGGCAGCAGUGGGGAAUAUUGGACAAUGGGGGAAACCCUGAUCCAGCCAUGCCGCGUGUGUGAAGAAGGCCUUUUGGUUGUAAAGCACUUUAAGCAGUGAAGAAGACUCUUCGGUUAAUACCCGGAGACGAUGACAUUAGCUGCAGAAUAAGCACCGGCUAACUCUGUGCCAGCAGCCGCGGUAAUACAGAGGGUGCAAGCGUUAAUCGGAAUUACUGGGCGUAAAGCGAGCGUAGGUGGCUUGAUAAGUCAGAUGUGAAAUCCCCGGGGCUUAACCUGGGGAACUGCAUCUGAAACUGUC
RNAcentral lists this ribosomal RNA (535 nucleotides) under Pseudomonadales bacterium HD-OI-03-5. RNAcentral's name for it is "bacterial SSU rRNA". It matches the Rfam family "Bacterial small subunit ribosomal RNA", at positions 105 to 637 of the family's 1533-position model. Lineage: Bacteria; Pseudomonadati; Pseudomonadota; Gammaproteobacteria; Pseudomonadales. The record is from RNAcentral.